GCAACUCGACUACACGAAGCCGGAAUCGCUAGUAAUCGCGGAUCAGAAUGCCGCGGUGAAUACGUUCCCGGGUCUUGUACACACCGCCCGUCACACCAUGGGAGUCGGAAAUGCCCGAAGUCUGUGACCCAACCGGAAGGAGGGAGCAGCCGAAGGCAGGUCGGAUGACUGGGGUGAAGUCGUAACAAGGUAUC
This 194-nucleotide ribosomal RNA is filed under the name uncultured bacterium. RNAcentral's name for it is "partial 16S ribosomal RNA". It matches the Rfam family "Bacterial small subunit ribosomal RNA", at positions 1307 to 1500 of the family's 1533-position model. The record is from RNAcentral.